This 2486-nucleotide non-coding RNA is filed under the name synthetic construct. The record is from RNAcentral.
GAAUUUAUAUUCAGUUGCGCCCUCGUGUGUGAUUAAAUUCACAACAGCGUCUAUAACAUCAAUAUCUGUAGAAAAUAUACACCUGACAGUAUCUGGCGAUACAAGGCAUGAAUUGCUGUGGUAUCUGGCCAUUUGGGAAACCCGGUGUACCUUACAAGAGGCUCGCUGAUGUAGAAACAGAUGAGAGAAUGGAGAUGGAGAUCAGGCUGGGUAUGCCCCCGGGGGUGUUGGCGGCCGACCUGAUUAGGAGCACCAAGGAUAAGCAGGUCCUGGAGCAACUCUAUCUUCUGGCCGUGCAGGCAAAUAAUUUAACAGAGCACAUCAAGAGAUUUACCUUGGGUGAGAUACCAGAAGAAUGUAAAAAUGUUACCAGAUCUCAAUUGGAAAAAUUAAAGUCUGUCCAACACAUAAUUUGGAACACAAUGAUAUCAUUGGCUGCUGGGGCAAUAAGUGUAGAUGAGGCCACACUUCCAGCCCUGCUGGACAAGAGGGCAGAGGAAACGGUGGCUCUUCUCGAGAUGGAGAAAAUAGCCACAGCAGUCAAACUGGAUGAGACGGCCGCAUGGGCCACUGACAUUGCUGGUAUUGUAUCUAGCCAACCUUUGGCCACGCCCCCAAGUGAGUCACCCGACCAAAUAGCACUGAAAAAAGCCACACAACUUUCAAAUGCUGUUUAUUGAAACUGGUCACACACAUCAUUUUGUGUGCAGUUUUAUUAAUUCACCCCACUUGACCCAAACCCCCGCCCCUCCCUAGAAGGCUUUCCUGGCCUCUGUUUGCUGUAUCGCCUAUUCUUUUCUUCAGCAAUUUCAGACUUGUCUGCAGCUUCGUGCGGAACCCUAAUAAACUGUACAACAGCUAAACCCGGUAUGUCCAUUGAGCAUUCUUUGCUUGUUAACAGCUGCAGCAGGGAGGGACUAUAAGAUUUAGAAAUAAAUACUAUUUGGGCUAUUCUGAUGCCUUGAGGGAUAAUUAUGGGUUCUGUUGUCAGAUUAUGGAGUGUCAAUGAAAAUUUUUCAGCCAUGUUGAUACCGGUAGGUGUCACUAGUAUUCCUCUACAGGCGAUGCCAGACCUGCCAAGUACCACUGGGGUAAAUUCUGGAGCAAUGCCAGAUAAAUGGGUCAAAUCAAACUGGAAGGUGUGUCGAGUCUUUGGUAGCAGACACAGGUCCUCAGAGGCUCUGAAAUCAAAUCCUGCAUCUUCGUCAUAUACUGGGUUCUUUAGGAGGUGGUCAUCUGUUAUGACAGGAACCGUGUAGCUCACAGGCAGGAUAUAGAUGGUCAAUUGGCCCGGUUGAAUCUCCACCGUGCUCUGAGCCGCCGUUGCCAGGAUAACAGAGAUUUCACCCCGGUAGCCGGGGUCAAUCAGUCCAGUGUGGCCGGUGACGAGACUGUUGGCACAAAUCGCAUUUAGGAUCAAGGGAAAUCCGCUUGUUUUCUGGAUAAACAGACCAAGAGGCACUUUUGUUCCUUCGCUGGGUUGGACAGAUAUAGGUGUGAUGUUUUGAAAUUUUAGUCUGGUCCCAGGAUCCAGGUCUGUGCCUUGUGUAGUUAGGGCCCAUCCAUGAGUGCACUCUAAAAAGUGCUUGGGCACAAAGGAGUAUUCCACUUUCAUGGCAAAUAAUUGCUCUGUAAAUGAUCUCCAAUAUAUAAGACGAGAGGAGACUUUUCUUGGUAAAGUCUUGGGUCCUGUACCACCUAUUUUAUAGCUGUUUAAAAAUGCAGGUCCUGGUCGUGGUUCUUUUUUUGAUGUGUGCCUUUGUCUGUGGGAUCACCCAAGAAACCACACCUACUCCAAAACCUGAUGACUCAUCUGACUUCUAUGGUCACGGAUGCAACGCUGACACAUACGUCCCUCAGUGGGGGAGUGUCUCUAGUGUGUUGGCAAUAAUUAAUGGGUCUAUAGUCACAGUGUCUAGUGGUGUCUUUUUGAUCUACGCAUGCUUUUCAAAAUUUCUUACUACCAUGACCUCAUAAUGUUGGGAGGAUAAUAUUUAAGCAGUGCCCUGGAGACAACCUGCACCCUUGCUCAACUUGUUGUUAUUCUCCCUGAGCGAUGGCGUCCAAAAAGCCUGAUAAAACCUAUGAAGAAAUGGUCAAGGAAGUAGAAAGGCUUAAACUGGAGAAUAAAACACUUAAACAAAAGGUUAAGUCUUCAGGCGCUGUCUCAUCAGAUGAUAGCAUCUUGACAGCUGCCAAGAGAGAAAGUAUCAUUGUCUCUUCAUCCAGAGCACUAGGAGCAGUGGCUAUGAGAAAAAUCGAGGCUAAAGUCAGAUCCCGGGCGGCCAAAGCUGUUACAGAGCAGGAACUAACCUCUCUUCUCCAAUCGCUGACCCUGAGAGUUGACGUGUCUAUGGAGGAAACUACUGUGGGUGCCAGCGGAGGGAUUGGCCCAUCCUCUCAAACAGAGACCAAGAAAAGAAGACCCAGGUCCAAAUCAAGACACAGACAUGAUCAUGAAUAAAAAGAAACACUUGAAUCUAUAA